Molecule: ribosomal RNA, 268 nt
Filed under: uncultured Helicobacter sp.
Lineage: Bacteria; Pseudomonadati; Campylobacterota; Epsilonproteobacteria; Campylobacterales; Helicobacteraceae
Description: partial 16S ribosomal RNA
Source: RNAcentral
UUACGCCCAGUGAUUCCGAGUAACGCUUGCACCCUCCGCAUUACCGCGGCUGCUGGCACGGAGUUAGCCGGUGCUUAUUCGUUAGAUACCGUCAUUAUCUUCUCUAACAAAAGGAGUUUACAAUCCGAAAACCUUCAUCCUCCACGCGGCGUUGCUGCUUCAGGGUUUCCCCCAUUGAGCAAUAUUCCCUACUGCUGCCUCCCGUAGGAGUCUGGACCGUGUCUCAGUUCCAGUGUGUCCGAUCACCCUCUCAGGCCGGAUACCCGUC